This 1172-nucleotide small RNA is filed under the name Histoplasma ohiense. RNAcentral's name for it is "hypothetical lncRNA". The record is from RNAcentral. Lineage: Eukaryota; Fungi; Ascomycota; Eurotiomycetes; Onygenales; Ajellomycetaceae.
UAUUCUGAUACAGACCAUCUCCAGCCCCAGACACAGCACAUCACCGACUCCAAAUCCACCAACGGCUACCCAGGCAUGCCGAUUUGAUUUUGAUAGUGCCAGGGAACUUGGUGUUAACCAUACUUACCGGCAUAGCCUUGACUCGUUCUUCGACGUGCUCUUCUAGCUGUGUGCCCGUACUGAGUCCCGUAAAGAGCAGGCUACAGAAGUGGUGAAGGCGAUAUCCCCGGGCAUUUGACAAGGCCAUCGAGGACAGGGAGAAAGCAACUGAACGGGCGUUGUGCUUGGAGUUUCUUCUUCUUCUUCUUCUUCUUCUUCUUCUUGUAUAUUUUCUUCGUAGGCAGCCACUAGCCCGCAUCACGUUAGACGGCGGCCUAUCCCCAGCCACCGCGAGGAGACAUCUAGAUAACUAGGAGAUCCGGGACGGUGGACACUUCACUUCGAUGCCAUCCAUUGUCCAGUAAUCCCGUCCUCCAAUUGAUGCUAUGGUCAGAUAUAGCAGCAUAUGUCCGUUGCCCCUCUGAAACACCUCUAGCUCCGGUGCGCAAGCCUUGCGUUUCAACCGGGCCUCUCUCUCUCUGUAUAGCAUAGUUAUACAAAUAUAUUUCCUCAAUUUUCCGCCGCAUAAGACCCAACGCACUCAUCCAGCCGAACCAAUUAACCCCUAGAUCGCACAAUUGCACACCCCACAGGGACUAAUCACCUGCAUAACCACCCUUAAGGAACCAAACCACAUCACUCCAGCAAUGGACUGGCUGUACCCCUUCAGUGGCAUCGGCCGCCGCGCACGCAGUCGAGACCGCUACUCCACCACCACCACCACCACCUCCUCCUCCCGCCACAGUCACGGCCACGGUCACGGCAAAAGCCACAGCCGGUCCUCCCUCUUCAACCUGGGCGGGCACGCCAACCGCUCCACGACGUCUGCCGCCUCCCUGUUCUCCAUCGGCAGCGCGGGAUCCUCGUCGUCGCGCCGCGCAAGGCCGCGCUCGGGCUUCGUUGCCCGUGUCGUGCGCAGCAUCCGGCGCCUGUUCCGGCAUAUCGUGCGCUAUGCGCGCAGCCAUCCGCUGAAGGUGUUCUUCAUGGUCAUCAUGCCGCUGAUCACGGGCGGGGUGCUGCAGAAAUUGCUCUCCGUCGUGGGCAUACGCCUGCCACCGUCAUUGGGUGGGGGC